RNAcentral lists this ribosomal RNA (391 nucleotides) under uncultured Pseudomonadota bacterium. RNAcentral describes it as "bacterial SSU rRNA". It matches the Rfam family "Bacterial small subunit ribosomal RNA", at positions 60 to 496 of the family's 1533-position model. The record is from RNAcentral. Lineage: Bacteria; Pseudomonadati; Pseudomonadota.
AGUCGAACGAAGUAGCAAUACUUAGUGGCAGACGGGUGAGUAACAUGUAGGUAUCUGCCCUUUGGCCUGGAAUAACACGAGGAAACUUGUGCUAAUACCGGAUAAGUCUUUACGGAGAAAGCUUUAUGCACCAUUGGAUGAGCCUGCACUUGAUUAGUUUGUUGGUGGGGUAAUGGCCUACCAAGACUGUGAUCAAUAGCUGAUUUGAGAGGAUGAUCAGCCACAUUGGGACUGAGACACGGCCCAAACUCCUACGGGAGGCAGCAGUGGGGAAUCUUGCACAAUGGAGGAAACUCUGAUGCAGCGAUGCCGCGUGAGUGAAGAAGGCCUUUGGGUUGUAAAGCUCUUUCGUCGGGGAAGAAAAUGACUGUACCCGAAUAAGAAGGUCCGG